Chroicocephalus ridibundus (black-headed gull) is the source of this 7559-nucleotide long non-coding RNA. RefSeq lists it as uncharacterized. The transcript is spliced from 4 exons. Lineage: Eukaryota; Metazoa; Chordata; Aves; Charadriiformes; Laridae. The record is from RefSeq and is a predicted model, not a curated record.
UCAGCCGACGGGCCUCGCGAGUCAGCUCGGCUGGGCUGAUUCACCCCGGUGGAGGGUCCACCACCUUCUACAGCACUCCCACGCACCCCCCACCGCGGGCUGUGCUGGGCAAACGCCAUCAGUACGGGGCAGCUGAUAUAAGAGGUGCGAACUAUCAUCAGGUUCGUGGCGAGGCAGAGAAAUUUAAAACGUCUUCCUGCUCAAUUUAAAGGGCUGGGAAAAAAAGAGUUCUCUGCUAACAAAACCCUCGUCAGCUUUCUGCAGCAAGGGCGUGGGGGUAUUUCCAGGCAGCAUCGGGGGAAAAAGCAAACACGCUGUGUGCAAGACCAAGAGCUCUGGCCUGCAGUUUUCAAAUACCCCUGCAAUUUUCCCAAUCAAGCCAGUGAAACAGGAUUUGGCCUGAUCAGCACUUAAAUGGGAGACACACAUGAAAGCAAUGGCCUGAUUAUCCUUCGUAGCUGGCUGCCUCGGCUGCACCUCGCCCCAUCAGCAGGUAGCUGUAGAUGCCACCUCGGGAGCAGCGUGCAGGGGACAACCAGUCCUGGGGAAGCAGCAGAGGAAACCUCCCUGUGUGCAACUGCAGCCUGGUGCCAUCCCAGCAGGGUGUGGAGAGUCCCCCUCGUCCAGCGGCAUGGCAAGAAAAUGAUUAAAUCCCUAAAUGAAGACCCUGAUGACCUGUCCCAGAUUAUCUCUGCUCAGCGGGUGAAACGCCGCCGCGUGGAGCUGCUGAGCAAACCUCCGCUGGGUUGAACUUCACCACGAUUCCCCCUGCCAAAGGGUAAGUGCUUGUAAAGUCAAACGGAGAAGCUUAAAUAAAUAAACUGCUAUCUAGAUGCGGGGUUAUACAUGUAUAAACACAGAAAGGGGGUUACCCCAUUUGAUUAUCUACAGAGCAGGUGCAGAGAGGAGCCAUCUGCAUCGCUGACGCCCAAGCCUGAUUUUCAAAGGUUUGAUGUCUUUCAGGUUGCAUUUCUGCUUAAGUGUCGCUGGCGAAACUAAUUUACACUAAAUUGUAGGGAACCAGAGGGAUUUUUGUGGGAGCUAGUUCUACAGUGCCUUUCACAGAAGGCAUUUCCAUCUGAAAAGGUAAGGCUUUUCCUCCGCUCCCUCCUCAAACCCCUUUGCCAAACCUUUUCAGUUGCGUCGUGAGGUCUGCAUGUUGCAAAAUUUAACCUUUUCGCGUGUUUUCCUGAGGCUUAGAGCAGAGUGGUUUGUUUUGUUGGCAUCAGGAGGAUGGGAACCAUGUCACGACACUUCAUCCCAUGCUUGAUUCUCCUGUUCUCUUUCCUGCAUUUAUCCGUAUUUCAUAUUUGGAGCUAUAAAUGGACCAUUUCAGAAAAAAAAAUGCGACUAAAACUCAGGGAGAGCACGUAUUUGGCAUCCAUCUCCGACGUGUUAGGUCUGUGCAAAAUCUGCUGCUCUCCUUUGAGGCACCAAGACAACGUCCCCAUUUUCCCUAGCAGCCGGCAAGCACCCACCGAGCACUUCGGAAAUCUGAUCUAUUUUCUUCUGAAAAUCUGACGGAGUGUUUGCAAUACGUGACUGGGAAUGCUUUUGAAAAAAAUCGGUUUAGGCAGCCUUAUUUGCUUUCUGAAAUCGUUUUUAAGCAUCGGUUUUAGGAAAACUAACCGCAACCCUAGCAGAAAGAUUAAUUCAUCUGUUUUCCUAAGGAAAAAUAAUUACUACGCAUCUUUCAAAGCUCACAAGGAGUCGGCAGUAAAACCUUCCCCAGAGCUGUCAUCUGCGACUGCAGAUCUGGCUGGGAUUCUGUAAAAUCAAUCAUUCCUCUUCGCCGGGGCCAGCGAGCGGGAGGAGGCACCUCUGCGCUGGCAUCUGGAGAGUCAAAGCUGCUGCUGAGACUUUCCCUUCGCCCAAUACGUCGAGAGAUGCAGCAUCUGCCGCGGUUUGAAGAUCUUUCUGGCUUUGAAAAAGACCUCACAGGUUUCUUCUAAUUCUCAGCCCACAGCUUCCUACUUGUCAAGAAGUGUUGGACGUUUGGAGCUGUUUGGCCUCUAAACCCAAAGGAAAAUCAAUUCACCGUCAGCCAGGAGAAAGGAGAUUACAGCUCCUCUUUUAGGAGUAUCCAGUAUUGCCAAAGCCAUGAAGACCAAACUCUUCUAGUAGCAAGAAGGCUUUAAAGUCACGGAUCCUAUUCAUCCAUCCCACCCCUACUGCCCGUGUCCAUUGUUGGUGGAUCUUUGUGGUCCCUGUACCUCCAAAACCUUGCUUGGGUGUUGCAGUGAUGGAGCACAGCCCACAUGGGGGCACACACACCCCACCUGAGGCAGCGGCCCCACAUCUUUGACAACGUCCAGGCUGCACGUGCCUGUCCUCAUGCAGUCUUGUGUCUUACUGCCCCUUGGGUGGACCUGCAGGAACUCGAGCAUGUCCCAAAGACCGAUGCUGCUCAUUGCAUCUAAAGCUGUUGAGCAUCCCGAAGGAGGGUGCUGGGAUGUUGGUAAACCACAGCCACAAGUCGCUUUCCCCAAUGCUUUUCCUUCUGCCUCCCCACUCCUGCCUCUGCGAGCAGCAGAGCCUGUGGCACCGUCUCCUUCGUGACUCAACGCCGCUGCAGAUUCUCUCUCCACAUCUCCACUUAGGGUCUGCGAAUGGAAACAAAAAAGCCUCUGAAAGAAACGGUAAGUAAUUUCUAAUGAUCCUUUCCAGGACGUUUUAAAAAAUGAAAAACGCCUCUGCUGUAUCUCUAGUUAACCAAGGUCCUUUGGAGCCAGGAGACUAUUGAAUAUUUUAAGAGCAACGUUAUUUUGCAGCAGCUCAUAGCUAAUGAAUUCCCAAUUCAUAUUUCACAGUAGGUGAAGAAGAAAAGAAAAAUCCAUUUUCAGCACAGCUGUAAUGUAUUUUCCAGUCACUUGUGGAACAGAUUGUGCUCAGACCUGCAGCUUUAACCACUGACACAACUGAGAGGGGGAUGGAGGUGGUGGAGGCUGUGCUCUAGAUGCUCUCCUUCCUCCGGCACAGUGUGGUGUGUCCAGGCUGCUGCAAGUUUUGUUUGUCUUGUGGGUUUUUAUAGCUCAUUUGAGUCCAAAGCAUUUGAGUGCUCACUGCAGUUCAGGUGCUCCACCAUAGGUGUUGGGUGGUUGUUGUUGUGCUGGAGGUGUCUCUGGUGGGCUCCUGGCUCGUGGUCAGCCAAGGAGGGUGCUCCUGCUCUAGGAUUAUCCUUUCCCUGGGGAUAUUGUGGUGCAAAGCUGCCCUUGCCGGUGGCGCACGUGGCUGCCAUGGAUUGGGCUGGCUGAGCCUUGGAUGUGGACACUGCAGGCAGAAGGAGAUGAGCUGGAGCUGGCACCGGCGCAGAAGUCGGGCAUGGCAGGUCAGCUCCUGGCUGCACAGCCUGUCCCAGAGCAAUAUGUCCAAGUAGAUGCCACACAGAUUGAGCUAUUUUGUCCUAUGAGUCCUUUUUUGAGAAAGGUUUUUGAUCAGAAUGGCUAUUAAGGAAUAAUUCCACCUGCGGGCAAGGCCUCGCGCCCAGGCAGAGGGGUUUUCCUGAACUCAGUGGGCUCAGACACGUGUGCCAGAGCUGGGCAUUGAGAGCUGCCUCCUCCAGACCAACAUGAGUGUUCCAACGUGAGUAUUCUAACGCGAGUAUUCCCACCGCCGGGGCUGGGGCCAGGCUGCACACAGGGAACCACAGGAGAGUUCCCUUCUGGCACCGGGCACGGUUUGCUGCUGGCAAAGAAGGUGUUCACCUCUGCCCCAUGGAUCGGCAUUGGGCUUCCUGGCUGGAAGAAGAGCUAAGACAUGCUAAGAGGUAAGACACUAAGAAGUGCAGACAUGUGGGUACUCCUUUCACAGCAUAAAAAACCCCCAGCUAGAGUUUGACUACUUCAGGACCAGGGUCCAUCAUCCACUCUGUGCUCUAAUUGUAUUAAAAUUGUGCAUCUCAGAGGCUGCCAGAGGCUCCAUUUUCAUAUUACUUUGCUGGGCGCUCUCCCCGUUUCUCCCAGUUGUGCUUUUGCUAAGUGCCUGCAAAACAAAUUACAGCAAAUAUUCCCUCAUCAGGGCAAUGCUUCUUAAUUCACGGUGCAUUUUUGUUUGUACAUGUUAAUGCAUCCACCUAAAUUGUGCUGGCGGAGACCUUGAAGGGAGUCACAGAGGUACAACAGUCACUAGGAAUUCUCAUCUGCUGGGCGAUCAACCAUCUUCCAUUCGUCCUGGUCCCUCGGAUUCAGGAUCAAAGGAGAGAGGCACAACCAUCUCUUUCAGUGGUUGAGCACAUAGGUUAGAGAAACGGAUUUAAUACAGCCUGGGUCUAGCGAUGAAACCUGUGUGUGACUGUCCAUGGAGUGCUGCUAUAUCCAGGGGGAUAAGUGGGUAUCACAUAGACCUCUCCAUGCCACUCUUUACCUUCCUGUGAUGGGACCCCACCAGGCUUGGGAAGUUCAUUCAGGGAAAGGGUUAGCCGGCAUAAGUUCGUCACGACGUUUUAAAUAUCCCUACUAUAAACAAACGCUGUUGUUUAACUGCUUCCCAGCACAAAGUCAAGGGGGGGGGUUCUUGGUGCACCUUCCAUGACUCCAGGCAGUUGGAAGCUCCAGGCAUGGAGCUGGACAUGAUGGUGUUUGCUAGACGCGGCUCCUCCUGGAGCUGGCACAGAGUGGCACAUGGGCAAGGGGUCUCUGCUGGUGAGGUGGCAAACAGAGCUGGUGUGUCCUGAUUGCAGCUGUGAGGCUUUUUCAAGGCAUUUAAUUAGUCUGCCAAACAUGACAACAAAACUCCCGUGCCUUAUUCUGGGUGUUUGAGGCUAGUGCACUGUCGGGAUGCUGCCGGCCUGGGACCAGCCUCUACGGAUCACAGUUCUUCCCAUGCCUCCUCUUCAUCUUGAGGAGCCACCUUGGGAAGACUCCCGUGUCUGCUGGGUGCUUAAAACCUUAGGAAAAAUAUUAAUUUCCAAUCAGUGAGAUAAACUGUCCAGGGAAAUAGAUAUGGGAGGAAACCUCCCCGACUUAUGUAAACACUUAACCAAAAUUGAGGAGUUUCCAAGGAAUGUUUUGAUUUUGCUUAAUCAACCAAGAAAUAGUCUGUCAACAAUUCCCUCCAGCUCUUGGUUCUGGAGAUCCAUCGUUUGCUCCUGGGCUGUGCUAACACGCUUCUUCCCAUAAAUGUGGUACUUUGGGGCAGCACCUUCUGCAGAUGAGUUGGAGCAUCCCAUCAGCGUGUUCUCGGUAAGCAUUUUGCUCAGAUCUAGACUACAUCACUCGGGAUGUAGCGCCACCAUAUCUCACCUCUUCCAUGUGAUUCUGGUUUGUAAAGGCUUGGCAUAAAGUAAUUGUGCUUCCGUCUGUGUCAGUCUGGGCUGUCACAGUUAAUAGACCAACAUCCCGUGGUGCGGAUGUCAAUUUGCAUCCUCGCUCUGCUUCUCGCUUGCCUAUUGUUUUCAUUCAGUUGUUAUUUUUGCGUCUGCAGUGAUUCCAAGUGGGAUCUCAUUAAUAGUAGGGUCUUGAAGCAUUUUAGCGUCGAUAUCUGCAGCUGCAGGUGAACACGCCGUGGGAAACACGAGCAUCUUUCUGUGCUCAUCGGCAAGACAUUGUCAGAGCCGUGCGCUUUGCCACCGACACUUAGGAACUGAAAAAGGAGAGAAAUUUUCAUGUACGUUGAUCAAGCCCUGUUUUUUUUAGUACUGAUGACAGCAGUGGCCCAAUCCACCAGUGACCUGAGAAUAACCAAUUUAAUUGUAAUUACACCUGACCAGUGCAGGGAGCUCCCUGGUGCAGGCGUUGUUGUUAUGAAUUUUAUUUUUAUUGCUGGCCGAACCUCUGCUCUUUGUGGUUUCGUUUUGCUGGGCUGAUUUUGGAUCGUUCCCGCACAUUUCCAGCCCACCUUGUGCUUUUGUAGAUUUGAUGGCAGAAGGUGAGAGCAAUUGCGCUCCGCUGGACCCAGGUGUCGCGGUCAGUGUCUCAUCCCCAUCAGUGUCCCAGUGUGAACCGAGAUGACAUUUUGCUGCGGUGGAGUAGCAACACGAGCGAGGACAAAGAGUCCUGGAUCUCAGCCGCUGGUGGGGACAAGCUGGACCAUCGGACCACGGAGGCUGCUUGCCCAUCCAGGCUGGAGCUGGGUGAUUUGGGUCAUCUCCUGCCUGCAGUGGGGUGCCCUGGGCAGGACACGGCUGUGGCUAUUCAGAACAAAAUGUGAUCUUCCCCCUUGAUCUUUCCCCUGUGCAGCAGAGAUGGCGUUUGCCGCUGUGUUUUACACUGUGGAAGCGAGCUCUCCUGUUAUCGCACCCUGACAUGAGCGAUGGAUCAGAUACACCCCAGGAAAAGGUUUAUGAAAAACGAGUGCAGCAUCGCUCAACCUCUGCUCCCAGGUUCAGAUAAACGCUCCUGCAGCGAAUUUCAAAUAGAAAGAUAAACCACGGAGCUGAACCAAAUAUUGGGGUAAAUAAUGAAUUAACAGUCCUUGUUGCCUCGUCCGGAUUGCCCGCUGUAACUCUCCAAGUGCGUUGCUUUGAUGUUAUUUGCUCAAGCGUUUCAGCAACGAACUCUCGCUCCACGGGUUGUUUGCGACCGGUUUGCCAUUAGCUUGCUCGGUUUGCAGGCCAGGCCAAUGGGCAAACUGGGGGGGACCUUAAACGCACCCCAUAUUCACUCGUCCCUCCGUCAGGCCCAUCCUAGUCUGAGAUCAGCACUUGAACUGCAAAAACUCUCAUAUCUUCCCUCUUUCCCCAGGGCAGGAUGAUGGUUCCGGCUGUACCUGCCCUGGAGGACUCAGUUUUUGAGCUCGUAUCCAUAAGUUCCAUUUGCAAAAAUAUCCUGGGGGGGGGGGGCUGGCACACGAAUGCCAUUUGUUUUAAAGGGAAUUAGGCGUCCCAGCUGCUCCUGGGGCUCAGCAAAACUCAGUAUAACGCACAUAAAUAUUCUUAUAAUCAUGACCCUUUCUACUUUGCCACGUACAACACAAGAGACCCAAAGGAAUUAGGCAAGCAGCAGCAGUAACGUCUCCCCUCCCAGGGCAGCCCUGCUAAUGGCAUCGCUUUGUUAAGGAGCUUCAGAGAAGCCCCUCCCAAAAUGUGCUGGAAUAAAAACUGGGUGGUUUUUUUGGCCCGUUUCUGGUUUCAUGGGCUUUACUGAUUUUUUUUUUUUUUUUUGAUCACCGGGCUGAUGUUAGAAACAGGCUCCUGCUAAAGGUGAGCGGAGAAGUUGCAGCUUUGUAUCGCAAACUCUGCAGUUUCGCUCUCCCAACAGAUAACUCUGCACCUGCAAAAACAUCGGUCGCUUUGUGCCGCUUUAUUGUGCUUGGGGGAGAGGAAAAGAGCCCUCCUGGGCUUUCCAGGGUGGGUUUGAAGGUCAGAAGUCAGUGAGAAAACGCAGAUUUCCUCCGCCUGCUAACCUCCAAGUGCAUACGGCUCGUCCCGGAGCCAAGGUGUGGUGCUCAGGAUUGCCACCAAAUACGCAAUUGUACUUCUCUGGCCGCGGUGUGUAAUUAUGGAGAUCCCCUGACCGUGUUUGGAGCCGUGCAGUGUCCCGGCGCUCAUUGCAAGCUCGAACGCGGUGUUGCGCUGUCUGCACCCUGAUGCCGUCACCCCUGUCCUCUGAGAGGCAAUUUCC